GAAUUCUGCAAAUGUUGUGAUGUAUCCUCCCUGUCACUCUUAGGAACAACAAAGAAUGAGAGAAAACAAAGAUCGUUUAUUAUUGAACAUAUAUGAAAAUGAAGUUGGAAAUAAAUCAACUUGAGGAGUUGAGAGACUGAAGAAGCUAAGAAGAGGGAAACAAAAUAAAACACCUGUGAUUUAUAUGGAGUGAUGGAAGAGAAAUCACAAAUCAACAGCAAUGAUGAGGAAGUGGUGGAAGUCCUUAAGCCUCCCCCAAACAUAAAGAUAUUAUUCAUAAAGAAUUUCACAAAAAUUAUUCUAAAUUUCUCUCUUCUUAAAUGUCCUUUCUUCUCUUCUCAAUUUUCCCCCCUUUGGUCUACUCCUUUUGUUUUCUUUUGGUGUGGACACUGCACUAGCUUUAUCUGUGAAUUCUUUCAAUUUCUAUUUCUUUUCCAUCUGCAGUAGUCCAAUGGUGUUUUAUUAAUAAAAUAAAAUUUUACUUACUAAAUUUUGUAAAGUGAAAAGCAGUUAAAGCUGCAAUUUAAGUGAUAAAAAUUAAUUUAUUAACAGAAUUAAAUUUUGAGAAUCAAAU
RNAcentral lists this unclassified non-coding RNA (574 nucleotides) under Hevea brasiliensis (rubber tree). The record is from RNAcentral. Lineage: Eukaryota; Viridiplantae; Streptophyta; Magnoliopsida; Malpighiales; Euphorbiaceae.